GACGGAGGUGCAAGUCGUUAUCCGGAAUCACUGGGCGUAAAGCGUCUGUAGGUGGUUUAAUAAGUCAACUGUUAAAUCUUGAGGCUCAACCUCAAAAUCGCAGUCGAAACUAUUAGGCUAGAGUAUAGUAGGGGUAAAGGGAAUUUCCAGUGGAGCGGUGAAAUGCGUAGAGAUUGGAAAGAACACCGAUGGCGAAGGCACUUUACUGGGCUAUUACUAACACUCAGAGACGAAAGCUAGGGUAGCAAAUGGG
RNAcentral lists this ribosomal RNA (253 nucleotides) under uncultured bacterium. RNAcentral describes it as "partial 16S ribosomal RNA". It matches the Rfam family "Bacterial small subunit ribosomal RNA", at positions 524 to 776 of the family's 1533-position model. The record is from RNAcentral.